This is a non-coding RNA of Podarcis lilfordi (Lilford's wall lizard), 165 nucleotides long. NCBI's taxonomy places the organism in Eukaryota, Metazoa, Chordata, Lepidosauria, Squamata, Lacertidae. The record is from the annotation of a GenBank genome assembly.
UAGGCUCUGUGGUUUAACCCACAGCGCCACCCGCGUCCCUUGUAAACGCAUAGUCCCGCACUAAUAAGUAAAGCAGGUGUUAGAAAAGUGUUGAAUAUAUUUACAACAUGAUAAUAUAAAGACGAAGGGACGCGGGUGGCGCUGUGGGUAAAACCUCAGUGCCUA